Oryzias melastigma (Indian medaka) is the source of this 5530-nucleotide RNA transcript. It is a transcript of the gene named granule associated Rac and RHOG effector 1, with no coding region annotated. The record is from RefSeq and is a predicted model, not a curated record. The transcript is spliced from 15 exons. Lineage: Eukaryota; Metazoa; Chordata; Actinopteri; Beloniformes; Adrianichthyidae.
UCUACCGGAAGUGCCUGGUGUUAUUGACGCUCGCUGUUCAGCGGUCACACACAGCCAGGGAAUUCGCUGUCAAGAGGGUGGAUGCCUGGAGCUGGAAAUGACCUAGAGGCCUUACAGAUACAUUUGUGCUUUUGUUGCUCUAAUCUGCAUCCGCAGAGAGCAGCAAGUUUUGGAAGCACAUUUGUUUCCACAGUGAGUAAUAUCUACCUCAGCCAGCAGACGGGGGGACGAACCAGGAAGCUGCUGGAGACAUCGGACGGGCAGACAGAGCUAUCAGCUGGCCGCACGCUCACUGCCUGCAGAGUCCUGCUUAUUUUUUGGUUUUAAAGGGGAUUUGAGACGGACUGGAUCUGUCUGCCCUGCACCUCCCACUGUUCCUCUGCAGAAGCCACAUCCACUGUUUCCAGCAUUUAUUCGUUUUUUUUAAUGGUCCAUUUUUCUUUUGUGCUGUUGACCAGUGUGUCAUUUCCGUGGAUGCAUUUUUUUUUUGCUUUACCCUUUUAAAAGGAUUUUCUAUUUUUUACUGCAGGCUGGUUUAAGAGUUUAUAUGUAAAUACGUAAAUGAAGGAUUUAUUUUCUCUGGAUCUGAAGGAAAUUUGAUGCACUUUAGGCCCUGGCUGUGAAACUUUUUACCCUUCUGUUAUGAUCAUUUUGUCAGGAGCUGGAAGGAGAACAUCUGGGGGCGUGUUUCUGUUGUUUUUUUAAAGUUUAUACGUUACAUCUGCAGCAGGGCUGCAUGUAAGCAUUUCAUUCAGCGUUGCUUCUGCACACGGCAAACUGAAAUGAACCUCCGGCAGGUGGAAUCCUUAAGCUGUCCCUCUCCAUAACUUGAUCCGCCUCCGUACUGUUGGAUUGGAGACUUUGGGACUCAUUCGCUGGGAAUAACUGCAACAAGAGGAGCUUCCGGUGCUUUUGCACCACCUAUGUAUUGUUGUAGUGCGCAGGAAAGUAAAAUGGACUACAAGCGUCGCUUUUUGCUCGGCGGGUCCAAGCAGAAAGUGCAACAGCACCAGCAGUACCAGAUGCCUGAGCUGAGCCGGACCCUGAGCGCCUCUCUGGCUUCCUCUUGCACCGCCUCGUCACCCAUGAGCGCCGGGGUGGGCAUGCCCGGCAGCUGCCACCCGCCGCCAUCCGGCACAACGACCGCCGUCGCCGACAUCCAGCAAGGCAUCUCCAAAUACCUGGAUGCGCUCAAUGUGUUCUGCCGGGCCAGCGCCUUUCUCACAGACCUGUUCAGCAGCGUGUUCAGGAACUCUCACUAUUCCAAAGCAGCUAUGCAACUGAAGGACGUGCAGGAACACGUCAUGGAGGCGGCUAGUAGGCUGACUGCCGCAAUAAAGCCAGAGAUCGCCAAGAUGCUGAUGGAACUGAGCGCCGGGGCCGCCAACUUUAAAGACCAGAACGACUUCAGCCUGCAGGACGUCGAGGUGCUCGGUCGGUGCUUCCUCACGGUGAUGCAGGUCCAUUUCCAGUUUCUAUCGCAGGCUUUGCAGAAGGUCCAGCCCGUGGCUCAGUCCUGUCUGGCUGAAGCCCUUGCACAGGCCCAAGAGCGCUGUGCCAACGCCCGCUCUCAAAGCUCUGACCUCGGGCCCCUGUCGGAGCUUGAGGAAGCCUCGCGCUCAUGGAAAGGCGUAGCUGAGGCCACAGCGAGGCUGAGGGAGAGGGGCCGUGACGGCUGCCUGGCAGGCAUCCAGGUUCAGCAGCUUUUUUGCUCCAACAACACCAACAUCCCAGAGCACCAGCUGAAGGAGCUCAACGUGAAGAUUGACAAUGCGUUGCAGGCUUAUAAAGUGGCAUUGGAGAGUCUGGGCCACAGUGAGUAUGCUCUAAAAGGGGGCUUUCACCUCAACCCCAAAGCUGUGGAGGCAGCUUUACAGGGUUGUUGCAGUGAAGCGGAGGCUCAGCAGGCCGGCAGGAUGCAGACCACCUCACAACCCAUCCAGUGCGAGCUGCCAACCAUCCCCGUUCAGAUCGGCUCACACUUCCUCAAGGGGGUGUCCUUCAACGAGUCCGCCUCCGAAAACCUCAAAUUGAAAACUCACACGAUGCUGCAGCUGAUCAAGGAGGCGCUGGGACAGAAUGGAAUGACGCACAGAGACGAUUCUCCAGUCACAGAAGUCCUUAACCAGGUUUGCCCUUCCAGUUGGAGAGGAGCCUGCAAGACCGCUGUCCAGCUGCUGUUUGCUCAGGCCGGUCUGGUGGUGGUUGAUACAGCUCAGAUUGAGAACAAGGAGGCCUACGCUCCUCAGAUCAGUCUGGAGGGGUCCAAAGUUGUGGUCCAGGUCCCCUCUACAUGGUGUCUGAAGGAGGAUCCAGCAACCAUGUCUCUGCUUCAGCGAAGCCUCGACCCAGAGAAGACACUUGGACUAGUGGAUGUGCUUUACACAGCUGUGUUUGACAUCAACAGGUGGAAAGACAGGAAGGAGCAAGCCUUGCCUACAAUUCAGAUCCAGCUGCAGCGAGAGACCCCAGACUACGGCAGCCCGACAGACUCUCCCGUGGGCCCCAGCUCCAAAGCUUCCAGUGGCUUGCCGAAAACUAUAUCUAAGCUGACUUCCAAGUUCACCAAGAAAGUCUCAUCCAGCUCCAACAGUGGAGGCAGCUAUUCUAUCCCGAGCACUCCGUCUCGCAGCGUGAUGACCUCUAGUAGCUCUGAGGACAAGGCCAAAGGCCUGGCUCAUAGUGAAGGGAGGCUGCAGAGUAUCCUUCAAAUGGGCGGCCUGUCCUGCACUCCCGAUUCCACCCAGCAAAACCAUCUGGCUAACGGAUCGGGGGCUGACGAGCAGGGGAUGAACCUGCCCACCGACCAAGAGAUGCAGGACGUCAUUGACUUUCUCUCAGGAUUUAACAUGGGCAAAUCCCAGCAAGCUUCACCGCUGGUGAAGAGGAGGAACUCUGUGGCUUCAGCUAACCCUACAGAGAUGAAGCCCCCCAGCGGUCCUUCACUGGCUGCCCAGUCUAUGUCUCACAGUGCCCUGCAAACCCCAGCGCAGCCGCAGCCGCCUCCACCCGCAGUUCAAAAGCAGCCUCAACCGCAGCCGCCUCCUUCACAGCAACAGCCUCAGCAGCAGCAGCAGCCGCCUCCUCCUCAGCAGUCCUCCCCACAGGCCCUGCAGUUCUACCAGCAUCUUCUGCAGCCCAUCACUCAGCAGCAGGCUCCUCCUCCACCUCAGCUCCCGCCUCAGCAGACCCCCCCACAGGUCCUCCCUCAGCAGAGAGUGACGAGCAAAUGGCUGGGCACCUCCGGCCAGCAGCAUCCACAGCAGCGGCCGCCAGCAGGACUGUCUCCACUGGGUCCCAUCGGGCAGUGGGGAUCCCCGGGACUUCCGGACCUGAGCUCAGACCUGUACAGCCUGGGCCUGGUCAGCACCUACAUGGACAGCGUCAUGUCGGAGAUGCUAGGCCAGAAGCCACAGGGGCCCCGCAACAACACCUGGCCGAACAGGGACCAGAGUGAGGGGGUGUUCGGAGUUCUGGGAGACUCGCUGCCUUUUGACCCAGCAGUUGGCUCCGAUCCAGAAUUCGCCCGUUACGUCGCCGGCGUCAGUCAGGCCAUGCAGCAGAAACGGCAGGUGCAGCACAUCCGCCACCCCAGCAAUCCUCGCAGCAACUGGCCAAUGCCUGAUGAGCAGCACCGGCCCUGGUCCCACCCAGAGUUCUACGGCGAGGGUGAGCCCAUAAACAGCAGCUGGUCGGCCAAUCAGGGGGACUCGGCCAGCUCCAGUGACGAGGCGUCUUCAGCCAACGGCGACAGCCUGUUCUCCAUGUUCAACGGUCCAGACCUGGUGGCUGCAGUUAAACAGAGGAGGAAACACAGCUGUGGAGAGCCGGAGGUGUGCACACUGCCUUCCCCGCCGCUGCACCAUAUAGGAGACGAUACCCAGGAAAGUAAAACUAAAACCUGGCCUCCAAAAGCACCGUGGCAGCACUCCACUCACACCAACACCAUGCCCAAUCCCAGUUCUUCCUUGUACCAGAUGAGCAUCCCUCCUUCCUCCCAGUGGAGUGAGUCCAUGCAGAUGCUGCAGUCUCCUGUGUGGUCCACCGCCGGCGACUGCUCUGCCUCUGCCGGCAUCUCCUCCGGAUAUCCCUUCACCCAACAGCAGCAGCAGCAGCAGCAGCAGCAUAAACCCAUGACCAAGGGCUUUAAAUCCUUCCCCCUCAAACCCGAGCACAGGCCCUCCUACCUUCACCAGUACUGACCGGAGCGAUGAGCUGGAGCUCUCGAGCCAGCGAGCGGGCCGCACCACUAAAACUGGAAGAUUUCAAAGCCUCGCGCCGGCAACAUUAAAGUGCAUGUGCCAUGCCAGCAGCAGGUCCGGCUCGUGGUCGCUUCUCCGUCUGCUGAGCGGACGUUUUCCUCAGACAAGAGUUGGAGACGGCCGUCACCCACUUGCUUCUGCAACUGAAAGUGUGUGUGUGUGUGCGUGCGUGCGCGCGUGUGUGUGUAGAAGAGGGGGGUGUGGGAUGCCCUCAUUUUUCCUCUAAUAAAUAUACUGUGUCUACAUAGCUGUAACUGCCAAAUCUCAUGCAAGAUAACUCAGAGUACAGCUACCAUCUACUGUUUCAUAGCUUGUAAAAUACUGAAGUUAAAAGAUAAAUAUUUAGUUCUUUUUAUCAAGAGGCUUUGAGCAGGCUCAGCAUAACUAUAGUAAGUCACUGCAGAGGUGGAAAUCGGAGAGAAACACUACUUUUUCAUCAGAGCUGUAACUAAUGUGCCAUGUUGGUAUUGAUAGCACUUGCAGAAUUUUAUUCCCAACCAAAGCGUUGUUCAGAUGACAAUUGGUGCUGAAGAGGUGAGGGGCGGGGCGGCUUUUUGACAAACGCCGUCUCCCUAUUGGACGACAGAACAUCUCCAUUUCCUCCUCGAAUAAUGGCGGUGGGUUUUUCUCCAGAUUUGACACCAACUUCUAUAAACCUUCUGUUUUAUUAAUACAAUAUUUUCUUGUGUACCAUUCUUGACAGUAUUAACUUUAUUUUUGUAUUUUUCUUACAUGUUAUACCAUACCUGUAUGUAGUAUUGUAAACAUCUUAUUUUCCACUUUCCCAAUAUGUGAAAAAGCACAUCUUUUCCUACAGAGUUUGAACUACACCAUGGAUCUACAAAGGUUACCAAAAAUGCCAUGCUUAAACACUAAAAUGUGUGAGGAGGGGAGUUUUCGAGCCCUUCUUCCUUUGGUUUCUAUGGCGAUGGGCUGCAUUUAAAAGCCCAGAAUGUUAUCCUUUUGUGAUGUUUGCGGAUGCCAAUGUUGCCUGUAUUUAUGAGAUGACACCAUGUUUUCAGAAAACUAACAUACUUAACAUGUUUACAGAGAAUUGUUUGCUGUAUAUACAUAUAAAUAUAUAUCUUUUUAUAGUUAAUGUGCUUUGCACAAUCAAAAAAUAGGGUUUGUUGCUUUUUUUUUUGUCUGUGUUAUCUCCCUAACUGUUGCAGCCUUUUUUAAGACAUCAUCACAGACCUUGGACUGUAACUGUUAGCUUCUCAGCUGUGUCAAAUGGUUUACUAGUGGCUUCUACAAAAGAAAAAAAA